RNAcentral lists this ribosomal RNA (497 nucleotides) under uncultured bacterium. Its description in RNAcentral is "partial 16S ribosomal RNA". It matches the Rfam family "Bacterial small subunit ribosomal RNA", at positions 28 to 507 of the family's 1533-position model. The record is from RNAcentral.
GAUGAACGCUGGCGGCGUGCCUAAUACAUGCAAGUCGAACGCAUAGCGAAAGGUGCUUGCCCCUUUCAAGUGAGUGGCGAACGGGUGAGUAACACGUGGACAACCUGCCUCAAGGCUGGGGAUAACAUUUGGAAACAGAUGCUAAUACCGAAUAAAACUUAGUGUCGCAUGACACAAAGUUAAAAGGCGCUUCGGCGUCACCUAGAGAUGGAUCCGCGGUGCAUUAGUUAGUUGGUGGGGUAAAGGCCUACCAAGACAAUGAUGCAUAGCCGAGUUGAGAGACUGAUCGGCCACAUUGGGACUGAGACACGGCCCAAACUCCUACGGGAGGCUGCAGUAGGGAAUCUUCCACAAUGGGCGAAAGCCUGAUGGAGCAACGCCGCGUGUGUGAUGAAGGCUUUCGGGUCGUAAGGCACUGUUGUAUGGGAAGAACAGCUAGAAUAGGAAAUGAUUUUAGUUUGACGGUACCAUACCAGAAAGGGACGGCUAAAUACGUG